UACAGAGGUCCCAAGCGUUGUUCGGAUUCAUUGGGCGUAAAGGGUGCGUAGGCGGCGCGGCAAGUCGGGUGUGAAAUUUCGGAGCUUAACUCCGAAACUGCAUUCGAUACUGGCGUGCUUGAGGACUGGAGAGGAGACUGGAAUUCAUGGUGUAGCAGUGAAAUGCGUAGAGAUCAUGAGGAAGACCAGUGGCGAAGGCGGGUCUCUGGACAGUUCCUGACACUGAGACACGAAGGCCAGGGGAGCAAACGGG
RNAcentral lists this ribosomal RNA (253 nucleotides) under uncultured bacterium. RNAcentral's name for it is "partial 16S ribosomal RNA". It matches the Rfam family "Bacterial small subunit ribosomal RNA", at positions 524 to 776 of the family's 1533-position model. The record is from RNAcentral.